This 468-nucleotide ribosomal RNA is filed under the name uncultured bacterium. RNAcentral's name for it is "partial 16S ribosomal RNA". It matches the Rfam family "Bacterial small subunit ribosomal RNA", at positions 28 to 507 of the family's 1533-position model. The record is from RNAcentral.
GACGAACGCUGGCGGCGUGCUUAACACAUGCAAGUCGAACGGAAAGGCCCUGCUUUUGUGGGGUGCUCGAGUGGCGAACGGGUGAGUAACACGUGAGUAACCUGCCCUUGACUUUGGGAUAACUUCAGGAAACUGGGGCUAAUACCGGAUAGGAGCUCCUGCUGCAUGGUGGGGGUUGGAAAGUUUCGGCGGUUGGGGAUGGACUCGCGGCUUAUCAGCUUGUUGGUGGGGUAGUGGCUUACCAAGGCUUUGACGGGUAGCCGGCCUGAGAGGGUGACCGGACACAUUGGGACUGAGAUACGGCCCAGACGCCUACGGGAGGCAGCAGUGGGGAAUAUUGCACAACGGGCGGGAGCCUGAUGCAGCAACGCAGCGUGCGGGAUGACGGCCUUCGGGUUGUAAACCGCUUUCGCCUGUGACGAAGCGUGAGUGACGGUAAUGGGUAAAGAAGCACCGGCUAACUACGUG